Molecule: transfer RNA, 63 nt
Filed under: Stenopirates sp. NKU01
Lineage: Eukaryota; Metazoa; Arthropoda; Insecta; Hemiptera; Enicocephalidae
Description: tRNA-Asn
Source: RNAcentral
UUAAUUGAAGCCAAAUAGAGGCAUUUUAUUGUUAAUAAAAUCAAUGAUUAAAAUCCAAUUAAA